AGCAAGGUGGCUGAGUUUAGGCGGUAGAUUGUAAGUCUAUUAACGGGUUAUUUUUCCUCUUGCUA
RNAcentral lists this transfer RNA (65 nucleotides) under Anacanthotermes sp. RNAcentral describes it as "tRNA-Tyr". The record is from RNAcentral. Lineage: Eukaryota; Metazoa; Arthropoda; Insecta; Blattodea; Hodotermitidae.